AAGGCUGGCAGGGGUGAAGUGGGGGAGAAUGUGUCCCCUGUUUAUGCAGGGAGGAGUGUGACAGCGGGUGGGGCAGCCGCAGGAGAGAUGACGACAAACCGAUCUGUGGUCUGAAGGAGGACUGUGGGCGUCUUCAGUGAUGGCCAAGCUUGGACACUGUGCCCUUCUGAGCAUAGCCUCUCAUUCCUGCCCCUUUGCAGGUGGGCCGGGCUGAGUAAUUUGCUUUAAUGACCAGGAUGGGGUGCACGUGACAGUGUGUGAUUCUGGGCUAGAUGGUGACAGGCGCUGUGGCUUCCGCCUCACUGCCUCACUCUCGUGGAUGGAUCACUCAGCGGGGGACCGACUGCCACACCCCCAGGACGCUCAGGCGGCCCUGUGGGAGGCCCCCGCACACAGGAACCAACUGGCACAGCCACGUGAGCGAGCUGCCGUGGAAGCAGACUCUCCACCCUCAGUCAAGCUUCGGAUGUUUCAGGCUCCAGCGUAGAGUUCCCGGUGUGAUGGCAGCUGAUGUGACUAUUAAUCACUGGAACUCAACGAGUGCCAUGGUAGGGCCAGGACAGUGAGAAGGCAGCUGUCUGCAGCCAAGAAGAGAGCCACUGAAUCAGCCAACACCUUGAUCUUGGGCUUGUAGCCUCCAGAACUGGGAGCAAGUAAAUUGAUGCCGUUGAAGCCACCCAGUCUGUGGUAUUUUGUCAAGAUGGCCUGAACGCCUAAGGCAUCAUGAAAUUAGCCCGCUCUCUAAGGAGUCCUAUUCGUUUUUACUUGAGAAUGGAAUUUAGACUGUCCUGUGUGUGUGCUGCAGGUGAGGCCUUGCUGCUUUCUCAGGGGGCAGAGUGGAGAAAACAGGUCCAUGCUCACAUGCACACAGGUGUGUGCUCACGCAUUUAAGACACAGCUGCUGCUUCUCUAUCAACUGUCUUAUUUUGAAAACCACAGAUGCACACCAGCACCUCCAAUUCCAGUCUCAAAGCACAGUGUUCAUUUCCGUCUGCCCCUUUUCCUAUUUGUAACUCCUGUCUCCAGCAGCGAGAAGCUAGCACGUUAUUCUGAAUAGUGACUUACUUGCUUGAUCCAUUUCCUUGUUUGUUGCCAUCUCCCAUUGCUGCGCCCCCGUCAGGCUUUCUGACUUGAAACCUGCUGCAGCUGCCCUCUGUGGGAUGGGCGCUUCACCAUGGCCAGGCUCUGCAACUCCUCACUCCUACACCAAAACUGUCCUACCCUUUCACACUCUGAUGUCCCCAGCCCCUUGUGAACAUCCUUCUCCCUCCUCUACAGCCCCAACACCCUGCUCCUGGUCACCUCCAUAUGCAAAUGCCCUUAGUCCUGCUCAGAGUCCGCCACCUGUGCUGGGCUGUCUCAGCACGGAAGAACAUAGACUGGGGGAUUUACCAGCAGACAUUCAUUUCUCACCGUUCCAGAGCCUGUGGAGCCCAAGACCACGGCACCUGCAGAUCGGUGUCCAGUGAGAGUGGCCUGGUGUGCAGGUGGCUGUCAUCUCACUGUGUCUUCAAGGCAGGCAGGAGGAAAGAUAAAGAGAGAGCAGAAGGGGAGUGGGAGAGACAGAUAGAUGAUAGACAAGAUAGAUAGGUAGAUAGGUAGGUAGAUAGACGAUAGAUAGAUAGAUAGAUAAAAAGAUCGAUAAUGCAUGGAUAGAUUUCUGUGUCCUCUUUUUAUAAGGUUGCUCACCCCAAUAAUGAGGUCUCCACCCUUAGGACCUAAUUAACUCCUCAGUGCCUCACUUCUGAACACCAUCACAUGGAGGAUCUAAGCUUCAACGUGUGAAUGAACCUGGGGCGGAUACAGCCAUUCAGUUCCUAGCACAGGCCCUACUCCCCUACUCUCGUGCAGAUUAUGUUCAGACAUAUGAAGCUCCGAACACUGGACCAAAUGAGGCUCUGACUCAAAAGUGAAUAAUGGGGUGGCCAAUGCUGUGGUGCAGCGGGAUAACACCCUAGCCUGAAGCACCGGCAUCCCAUAUGGGCGCCGGUUCGAGACGUGGCUGCUCCACUUCUGAUCCAGCUCUCUGCUGUGGCCUGGGAAAGCAGUGGAGGAUGGCCCAAGUGCUUGGGCCCUGCACCCUUGUGGGAUACCCAGAGAAAGCUCCUGACUGCUGGCUUCUGAUCGGCACAGCUCCGGCUGUUGCAGCCAAUUGGGGAGUGAACCAGCGGAUGGAAGACCUCUCUCUCUCUCUUUCUCUCUGCCUCUCCUCUCUCUGUGUAACUCUGACUUUCAAAUAAAUAAAUUGAUUUUAAAAAAGUGAAUGGUGGUAGAAAUCAGAAUCUACCUUUUGAUGAGUGGAGCUUUUGGUUUUCCAG
Oryctolagus cuniculus (rabbit) is the source of this 2318-nucleotide non-coding RNA. NCBI's taxonomy places the organism in Eukaryota, Metazoa, Chordata, Mammalia, Lagomorpha, Leporidae. The record is from RefSeq and is a predicted model, not a curated record.